RNAcentral lists this ribosomal RNA (248 nucleotides) under uncultured Blautia sp. RNAcentral's name for it is "partial 16S ribosomal RNA". It matches the Rfam family "Bacterial small subunit ribosomal RNA", at positions 524 to 771 of the family's 1533-position model. The record is from RNAcentral. Lineage: Bacteria; Bacillati; Bacillota; Clostridia; Lachnospirales; Lachnospiraceae.
UACGUAGGGGGCGAGCGUUAUCCGGAAUUACUGGGUGUAAAGGGAGCGUAGACGGCAGGGUAAGCCUGGAGUGGAAGCCCGCGGCCCAACCGCGGAACUGCUUUGGGAACUGCCCGGCUGGAGUAUGGGAGGGGUAAGCGGAAUUCCUGGUGUAGCGGUGAAAUGCGUAGAUAUCAGGAGGAACACCGGUGGCGAAGGCGGCUUACUGGACCAUAACUGACGUUGAGGCUCGAAAGCGUGGGGAGCGA